AGAGUUUGAUCAUGGCUCAGAAUCAACGCUGGCGGCAUGCCUAACACAUGCAAGUCGAGCGAGAAAGUGUAGCAAUACAUGAGUACAGCGGCGCACGGGUGAGUAACACGUGGAUAACCUGCCUCACAGUGGGGAAUAACACCGGGAAACCGGUGCUAAUACCGCAUAUUCUGACGAGGUCUGCGGAUUUCGUCAGGAAAGGAGCAAUUCGCUAUGAGAGGGGUCCGCGGCUGAUUAGCUAGUUGGUGAGGUAAUGGCUCACCAAGGCUACGAUCAGUAGCCGGUCUGAGAGGACGGUCGGCCACACUGGAACUGAGACACGGUCCAGACUCCUACGGGAGGCAGCAGUGGGGAAUUUUUCGCAAUGGGGGCAACCCUGACGAAGCAAUGCCGCGUGGAUGAUGAAGUCUCUUGGGACGUAAAAUCCUUUCGACAGGGACGAAACCGCAAGGUUGACGGUACCUGUAGAAGAAGCCCCGGCUAACUCCGUGCCAGCAGCCGCGGUAAUACGGGGGGGGCAAGCGUUGUUCGGAAUUACUGGGCGUAAAGGGUGCGUAGGCGGCUCUCUAAGUCGGAUGUGAAAACUCUGGGCUCAACCCAGAGCCUGCAUCUGAAACUGGAGGGCUAGGGUGCUGGAGGGGAAAGCGGAAUUCCUGGUGUAGCGGUGAAAUGCGUAGAUAUCAGGAGGAACACCGGUGGCGAAGGCGGCUUUCUGGACAGUAACCGACGCUGAGGCACGAAAGCUAGGGGAGCAAACAGGAUUAGAUACCCUGGUAGUCCUAGCCCUAAACUAUGGAUACUUGCUGUGGGGGGGAUUGAAGCCCCUUGUGGCGAAGCUAACGCAUUAAGUAUCCCGCCUGGGGAGUACGGUCGCAAGGCUGAACUCAAAGGAAUUGACGGGGCCCGCACAAGCGGUGGAGUAUGUGGUUUAAUUCGACGCAACGCGAAGAACCUUACCUGGGC
This 963-nucleotide ribosomal RNA is filed under the name uncultured bacterium. RNAcentral's name for it is "bacterial SSU rRNA". It matches the Rfam family "Bacterial small subunit ribosomal RNA", at positions 8 to 980 of the family's 1533-position model. The record is from RNAcentral.